RNAcentral lists this non-coding RNA (21 nucleotides) under Arabidopsis thaliana (thale cress). Lineage: Eukaryota; Viridiplantae; Streptophyta; Magnoliopsida; Brassicales; Brassicaceae. The record is from RNAcentral.
UGGUUGAUUUCAGGCACUGGU